This 1120-nucleotide long non-coding RNA is filed under the name Physcomitrium patens. RNAcentral describes it as "long non-coding RNA (PPAT_LNC014821)". The record is from RNAcentral. Lineage: Eukaryota; Viridiplantae; Streptophyta; Bryopsida; Funariales; Funariaceae.
CAUUCCCAAGUGCCAUCAAAGCAAUAGUUGCAAGUCAUGCCCCAUCUACAGGUGAUAUAUCUCUGCUUUUAUUGUAUUGAUGGAUGUGAGUUCCAAGUGGUGCUUUUUGUGGAGGUGGAAAUCGGUUGCAUGGAGGGCCUUCCUUCCUUCCUACUUGGGUGGCCUUUGCAUUUGUUCCUUUUGACCCGAUUGGAGGCUUUUAUAUUGUAGUUUGCAAUUGAUUUCAUUGGUGUUCACCUUGUCCAUUGCAAAUGAAUUACCCAAUCAAUUAAUUUUGAGUGGGUGUAAUGCACGUUUGUUUUUGGUGCAUGCUGUGUGGAUUGCAUUGAACUGCAUUUGGAUUGCAAUGCUUUGCUAGAAAACAAUGCUGUGUAAUUAAAUGAUAAGGUGCUUUAUAUUCAGUGGAGAAUGUGAGAGGCCACAAGGUUUAAAACAUUUGAUUGGUUGAUUGGUCAACCACCUAAAGAAUUUAGAACUUGCAGCCACUCACCUUUCUCCCCCCCCCCCAAAGUGUCAAGAUCUCUUCAACAAAAAAUGCACUACACAUCAUCAAUAAAGGCAUUGAACUCUUAAGGUCUCAAAAAUGUUUCAAAAGAUGGUUAUGCUUAAAUAAUUUAUGAAAAACAUGGGCAUAAGGUUGUCCAAGACAAAUUAAUUAUAAAAUCUAAAUGAAUAAACUCACAUGAAAAAGAAUUAAUGGGGAUCAAAAGCUGUUGUUACAAUUGCAAAAUUCCUCAUCUUCUAUAAUCUUUCAACUCUAGGUGUUUCCAAUAUUUUCUCAAAUGAUGUUAUUUGAAUAAGCAUAACAUGCUUUAAUUUGUUUUUUGAAACAAGACCACUUGCAAUAAAAUAGUAGCAAACACACCCAAAACUUAACGUAAUUUAAAUUGUAAUAAAUAAAUAUAAUGUGAGUUUAAUAAAUAAUAAUAAUGAUAUUAUGGUAAUAAAAAUAAAAAAAAUAAAACUCUUUUUGGAAAUUAGAUGCAAAUAUCUAUUUGCAGUGAUUAGUGAUUAUGCAAUUUAGUACAUGGUUAAAUUUUCAGAAUCUUUUACACAAGUGUAGGAGAACUCAGAAUAAAAUAAAGUCCCUAUUAAUCUCUAAUCAACCUGGAUUAUUUAU